RNAcentral lists this ribosomal RNA (425 nucleotides) under uncultured bacterium. RNAcentral describes it as "partial 16S ribosomal RNA". It matches the Rfam family "Bacterial small subunit ribosomal RNA", at positions 354 to 796 of the family's 1533-position model. The record is from RNAcentral.
GUUAGGAAUAUUGGACAAUGGGCGCAAGCCUGAUCCAGCCAUGCCGCGUGAACGAUGAAGGCCUUCGGGUUGUAAAGUUCUUUAGCCGAUGAUUAUAAUGACUGUAGUCGGAAAAUAAGCCCCGGCUAACUUCGUGCCAGCAGCCGCGGUAAUACGAAGGGGGCGAGCGUUAUUCGGAAUCACUGGGCGUAAAGCGUGCGUAGGCGGUCUCGUAAGUUAGGAGUGAAAGCCCAGGGCUCAACCUUGGAAUUGCUCUUAAUACUGCAAGGCUAGAAUCUCAGAGAGGAUAGCGGAAUUUCCAGUGUAGCAGUGAAAUGCGUAGAUAUUGGAAGGAACACCAGUGGCGUAAGCGGCUAUCUGGACGAGUAUUGACGCUGAGGCACGAAAGCGUGGGGAUCAAACAGGAUUAGAUACCCUGGUAGUCC